GACGAACGCUGGCGGCGUGCCUAAUACAUGCAAGUCGAGCGAAGUUUUUCUGGUGCUUGCACUAGAAAAACUUAGCGGCGAACGGGCGAGUAACACGUAAAGAACCUGCCUCAUAGACUGGGACAACUAUUGGAAACGAUAGCUAAUACCGGAUAACAGUAUUUCUCGCAUGAGAGAUAUUUAAAAGUUGGUUAUGCUAACACUAUGAGAUGGCUUUGCGGUGCAUUAGCUAGUUGGUGGGGUAAAGGCCCACCAAGGCGACGAUGCAUAGCCGACCUGAGAGGGUGAUCGGCCACACUGGGACUGAGACACGGCCCAGACUCCUACGGGAGGCAGCAGUAGGGAAUCUUCCGCAAUGGGCGAAAGCCUGACGGAGCAACGCCGCGUGAGUGAAGAAGGAUUUCGGUUCGUAAAGCUCUGUUGUUAGGGAAGAAUGGAUAUGUAGUAACUAUACAUGUAAGAGACGGUACCUAACCAGAAAGCCACGGCUAACUACGUG
Molecule: ribosomal RNA, 499 nt
Filed under: uncultured bacterium
Lineage: Bacteria
Description: partial 16S ribosomal RNA
Rfam family: Bacterial small subunit ribosomal RNA
Source: RNAcentral